RNAcentral lists this ribosomal RNA (330 nucleotides) under Wugigarra sp. Ind107. RNAcentral's name for it is "partial 12S ribosomal RNA". Lineage: Eukaryota; Metazoa; Arthropoda; Arachnida; Araneae; Pholcidae. The record is from RNAcentral.
GCUACACCAACAAACCUCCGGUAGUAAAAAAAAUUAAAACCAAUAAAACUUGGCGGUUACCGAAAUCUAGAGAAACUUGCUUUUUAAUCGAUAAUACCCGUUAAUUUUAACUUUUUUCACAAUUUUUAUACCGCCGUUUCAGGGGGUAAGUCAAAUUACGCACCAUCAAAACAACAGCUCAAAAAUCAGGUCAAGGUGAAAUCUAUAAAAAAGUAAAAGUGAGUUACAUUAAACUAUAAUUUAAGAAAAAGGUAUAGAAACAAUAUUUUGGAAAAAGAAUCUAGAAGUAUGUUUUAUUUAAAAUAUAGACUAGAAAUUAAACUGUAAUGC